Long non-coding RNA from Helicoverpa armigera (cotton bollworm), 1227 nucleotides. RefSeq lists it as uncharacterized. The record is from RefSeq and is a predicted model, not a curated record. The transcript has 3 exons. NCBI's taxonomy places the organism in Eukaryota, Metazoa, Arthropoda, Insecta, Lepidoptera, Noctuidae.
AUUUACGAACCAAACUUACCUGCCAAUGAAUGGAGGUUGGGUCGCGUCGUACAGCUCCAUCCGGGUAAAGAUAACAUUACUCGUGUGAUAACAGUCAAAACAUCAAAAGGCUUACUUACAAGACCUGCUGUCAAAAUUUGUCCUCUUCCAAUUGAACAAAACAACUAAUUUAACUACACAAUUUUUUAUUACACACAUUAUCUUAUUAUCUUAAUUAUUUUCUUAAAUGUUUAUUAUUACUCACCUAUCUCAAAACUUAUACGUAUCUAUUAUCUUAUUAUUAAUCUAUUAACUAAAAAUCUUAUAAUGAUGACAUAUGAAUCUGCAUAGGCCCUCGAUCUUAAAUCUUAAAUUAUCAAACUGUAUCUUAUGAAAUCCCUGGGUGAUUUCAAGUGGGGGGAUAUGAACAGGCUUUGGGAUACUUCCUUUCCCAUCCUUUUCCCUCCCUAUUCUACAUAAUCAUAAAGCACCGAACGCAACCAUAACUGCGCAACGAACGCCAUCUAUUGAACUCAUAGACAAAACUCCAGUUUCAAACUCAGCAAUGGCCGGCCGGCAUCGAUAACUGCGCGCGCGGUGUAAAAAAAUCAAGUUAAACCUGUGAAUACGACUAAAAGUGCUCUGGUGUUGUGAUCCCUGUGUUCCUGGCAUCCUCCGUGUACAGACAUCGGCAACAAAUAGCCUGAGAACAACGUCAGGUGUCGGCCGCGGGACUCGUGUGACGAGUGGGAGCGCCAAGGCCUCGCGGUGAGAGGUCGCGCCGACCUCGCGCUCGCCUCGCAGGGUGCUCCGGAGCGCUGUCAUACAGCGUAUGCAAACAGUGGUGCCUCACCACCUGUGCGGACUGCGCCCGCGCCGCCCACACUCCCGCGCGCGUGUGUGCGUGCGCUCUACCCGCCGAACUACACCUAGAUGGCAAGUACGAGUAUCUACUGUAUAGAAGCUAGGUGCCCCGGCGAGAUAUUAUGAUACCUACAUAAACACAGGUUUGUAAACAGCAAAGUUAGGUAAGUACUAAAGUUCGGUAAGUAGCUACUGCACUUCUACGAAUUCCUCGCAUAAUACUGUACAUGUUAUUGUACAUACCUCAUUAUUUAAUUAUAUUGUACCAAUAGGUUAACUUAUCAAGAACGCACAGGUGCCUGCAGAUUCGACGCAACCUGUUGGUUAAAAAUAAGCAGGACACGUUGUGCCACAGCUGAGAUUUUAUCCCGCUCCCGCUGCCGG